GUACGUUCUUUCCAGAAGUACUUAGUGUAGUCCCAGGACUUUACUGCUUGUGGGGAAGCCAGACAUUUACUUGCAUCCCUCCCAAAAACACCUUGACUUGUACUUUAGGGGUGAGCAUAAGAGACCAGCAAAUGUUGGGAAAAUACCACCAGUGGAUUAUGUAGCCAAAGGUUACUGUGAAUAUCUUUCCAAAAUGAGGGCCUUGAUUAUUCAGGGGAGCUUCCAGGAGGAACAGAUGACUUGCCAUUUACGCGCAUCCUGUGGCAAUUAUCCCUACGAUGGGAGCCAUCCAAUUAGAAAACUUUGUACAAAAUUUGUCCUUGACUUAAGUGAUCAACAACACCACCUCAGCCCUGGAAUGCAUUCAGACCUAGAUAAAAGUUCAGUGAAGUGGUUAAUUGUCCAUCCAAAGUAAACAAUGAAAGAUGAUAGCUGUAUAAAAUAAUAGAAGCCUGAAGAGUCUCAGACACUGUAUAGCACUGGCAAAGUACAUAUUUUGGAUACUGGCUGUGCGUCUAAAUAAGAUGUGAGGUCUGAAUGGGAUAAAUUUUCUGAACCAGUCCUGAGGAAUAUCUACCAGUGUUUCAUCUUCCUGGGCUUUGGGUUUUUCUGUCAACCAACACAAAUGAAGAUAAGCCAGUCCUCCUCUAGAAUAUAUUGCUCGAGCCUGUGUUCCUGCCCCGGGAAAGAGAGAUGACCCUCCUCCUAGUGCUUUACGUUUUCAUUUCAUCUUCAAUAAUGCAAGAAUAAAUGCAUAAAAUGGAAA
Molecule: long non-coding RNA, 766 nt
Filed under: Equus caballus (horse)
Lineage: Eukaryota; Metazoa; Chordata; Mammalia; Perissodactyla; Equidae
Description: lncRNA (ENSECAG00000042594.2)
Source: RNAcentral